UUUUUAUGGAGAGUUUGAUCCUGGCUCAGGAUGAACGCUGGCGGCGUGCCUAAUACAUGCAAGUCGAGCGAACAGACGAGGAGCUUGCUCCUCUGACGUUAGCGGCGGACGGGUGAGUAACACGUGGAUAACCUACCUAUAAGACUGGGAUAACUUCGGGAAACCGGAGCUAAUACCGGAUAAUAUAUUGAACCGCAUGGUUCAAUAGUGAAAGACGGUUUUGCUGUCACUUAUAGAUGGAUCCGCG
RNAcentral lists this ribosomal RNA (247 nucleotides) under Staphylococcus epidermidis NIHLM070. RNAcentral's name for it is "partial 16S ribosomal RNA". It matches the Rfam family "Bacterial small subunit ribosomal RNA", at positions 1 to 235 of the family's 1533-position model. Lineage: Bacteria; Bacillati; Bacillota; Bacilli; Caryophanales; Staphylococcaceae. The record is from RNAcentral.